Myodes glareolus (Bank vole) is the source of this 266-nucleotide long non-coding RNA. RefSeq lists it as uncharacterized. The record is from RefSeq and is a predicted model, not a curated record. Lineage: Eukaryota; Metazoa; Chordata; Mammalia; Rodentia; Cricetidae.
CUCUUGCUGAUAACGAGAAUGGAAAGGAGGCAGGGAAUGCCGGCCUUCCUGAAUCACAGACCUGGACUCAGGUGGUAACGUAACACUUGCCUGUCUUCAUCCCAAGACUGAUUUCUAGUACUACCUAUUCUACCUAGUCUUUAUAACCAGAUAACCUUAUCUUCAGGAGGUUGCCUGGAAAAGAGGUGGUUUUCAGUCUUCGUGAGGAGGAAGAAGAGGAAGAAGAAGAAGAUGACGACGAAGAAGAAGCUGUUCAAGAGACAUGG